RNAcentral lists this long non-coding RNA (770 nucleotides) under Helianthus annuus (common sunflower). RNAcentral's name for it is "sRNA HanXRQr2_Chr04g0170481". The record is from RNAcentral. Lineage: Eukaryota; Viridiplantae; Streptophyta; Magnoliopsida; Asterales; Asteraceae.
UCAUGAAUCCGACCCAAUGGAUAUCCAUUCACCCGAUUAACAAAUGAGUACACCAUACGUUUCAAACAUUCAGAAACCCUAAUCUUCCAUCCUCAAUCGCCGUUCUUCCAUCAAUCAAGCAAUUCAGAUGGUGAUCCAUCUUCGUUUCAUCCUUAGGGUUACAGUUCCUCCUCUGCAAGGGAUUCUCUUAUAGUCUUCCAUCGUCUUUAUACAUAAGAAAUCGUCACUUGUAAUGUCUUUCUCACCAGGGUUAUGGAAUUGGGAUUAUUCAUACAAUAAUAAUAAGCUAGCUCAUAUUCAUAAGCUUAAGAAGACAGAAGACAUGAUCUUAAUGGUUCUUUAGAUAUUCACUGCUGGGCGCUCCUGAAGAAUUUGAUCAAAUUUAUGGACCACUUGCUCUACAUCCUGUGUAAAUGAUCAGCAAAGAUAAAGGAGCAACAUGGAUACCGCCAAUCUCACAUUACAGUGCGGGGUUUGCCAGAUUGGUGUAAUUGGUCGAAAGGUUAGACGUUAUCCAUUUACUCUUAUAUGGGGUGACUUUGGAUUUUUUAGUUACUUUUAGUGGGUUAAAUGAGUAUCAUUUCUAUUCAAGAAAGUCAUUUGCCAAAAGUAUGUAUUUCCUUCACAAUUACCCUUUACCCAAAUUGAGUUAUUCGUUUGAAGUGUAGUUUAGUUAUAAAGUCAUAAUGACCAAUUUAGAUGGUGUACAGGUCUUCUCGCCCAUUUGAAGUGGUUUUGUAGGGAAAAAGUAAUUUGCCUAUUAAAGUUGU